Non-coding RNA from Pelobates cultripes (western spadefoot toad), 731 nucleotides. The record is from the annotation of a GenBank genome assembly. Lineage: Eukaryota; Metazoa; Chordata; Amphibia; Anura; Pelobatidae.
AUUAAAAUUAAGAUUAUCUGUACACUGAAGCUAGCAUAAUCUUCAAUUUCCCAUAUGAAAGCAUUGGAUUGGCUGAGAUCGUCAAAUUGAGGAGUGGCCACUGGAGGUGAUCCUAGGCUGUAAUGUAAACACUGCCUUUUCUCUGAAAACGCUGUGUACAACAAAAAAGCCUGCAAGGACUGACUAUACUCCACAGAACAAAUACUUUAACCCCUUAAGGACCAAACUUCUGGAAUAAAAGGGAAUCAUGACAUGUCACACAUGUCAUGUGUCCUUAACCCCUUAAGGACCAAAUUUCUGGAAUAAAAGGGAAUCAUGACAUGUCACACAUGUCAUGUGUCCUUAAGGGGUUAAGGAGUUAAGCUGCAGUUGUUCUGGUGACUGUUUAUUUGUAAAGGCUAGCUAAUUCACAGUGAGUUUAUAUAUGUCUUUCUGAAUUUUAAAAUAAAUGGACUCUUAAUGGGAGCAGAGGGUGGGGGUUUUUGUGAUAUUGAACUCCGUAUGUUUACAAUCACUCGCAGUUCCCCUGCAGCCCUUCACUCUUCCUGAAUUGACAGUUCUGAGUUGGCAGUGUGCAGUCUUAUCCACUUCCUCUUCUAUAAGUCUAUUAUGGAGGGAGUGGAUCUCUCUCUCUCUCUCUCUCUCUCCCUCUCCCUCUCCCUCUCCCUCUCCCUCUCCCUUCCAAGCCUAUCCGAACAUCAGGUAGGAAAACAUAAGCAUCUGACAGGAGG